RNAcentral lists this ribosomal RNA (465 nucleotides) under uncultured bacterium. RNAcentral's name for it is "partial 16S ribosomal RNA". It matches the Rfam family "Bacterial small subunit ribosomal RNA", at positions 338 to 795 of the family's 1533-position model. The record is from RNAcentral.
CCUACGGGUGGCAGCAGUAGGGAAUCUUCCACAAUGGGCGAAAGCCUGAUGGAGCAACGCCGCGUGGGUGAAGAAGGUCUUCGGAUCGUAAAACUCUGUUGUUAGAGAAGAAAGUGCGUGAGAGUAACUGUUCACGUGUCGACGGUAUCUAACCAGAAAGCCACGGCUAACUACGUGCCAGCAGCCGCGGUAAUACGUAGGGGGCAAGCGUUAUCCGGAUUUAUUGGGCGUAAAGGGAACGCAGGCGGUCUUGUAAGUCUGAUGUGAAAGCCUUCGGCUUAACCGGAGUAGUGCAUUGGAAACUGGGAGACUUGAGUGCAGGAGAGGAGAGUGGAACUCCAUGUGUAGCGGUGAAAUGCGUAGAUAUAUGGAAGAACACCAGUGGCGAAGGCGGCUCUCUGGUUUGUAACUGACGCUGAGGUUCGAAAGCGUGGGUAGCAAACAGGAUUAGAUACCCCGGUAGUC